AUUCCUACGGGAGGCAGCAGUGGGGAAUCAUGGUCAAUGGGCGAAAGCCUGAACCUGCGACGCCCGUGAGUGAUGAAGGUCGUAAGAUCGUAAAACUCUUUUCAGGGACAUUAAAGCUCCGGCUCUAACAGAGCCUGGAGUCUGACUCUCCCUGGAAUAAGCCCCAGCCAACUACGUGCCAGCAGGUGCGGUAAUACGUAGGGGGCGAGCGUUAUUCGGAAUUACUGGGUGUAAAGGGUAUGUAGGCGGCCUCAUAAGUCGCGUGUCAAAGUCCAGUGCUUAACGCUGGGUCCGCACGUGAUACUGUGUGGCUAGAGGGCUGGAGAGGUGAGCGGAAUUCCCGGUGUAGUGGUAAGAUACGUAGAUAUCGGGAGGAACACCAGCGGCGUAGGCGGCUCACUAGACAGUUUCGACGCUAAGAUACGAAAGCGUAGGGAGCAAACAGGAUUAGAUACCCUGGUAGUCCACGCCCUAAACGAUGGAUACUUGGUGUUGGGGGGUUGCCCUCAGUGCCGGAGCUAACGCGUUAAGUAUCCCACCUGGGGACUACGGCCGCAAGGCUAAAACUCAAAGGAAUUGACGGGGGCCCGCACAAGCAGCGAGGUAUGUGGUUUAAUUCGACGCUACGCGAAGAACCUUACCUGGGCUUGACAUGCUUGAGAAAGAGCCAAGAAACUGGCUUUCUCAUGACCGCAAGGCCCCUCCCUCAUCCACAGGUGCUGCAUGGUGGUCGUCAGCUCGUGUCGUGAGAUGUAGGGUUAAGUCCUUGAAGAAGCGCAACCCCUGUCGCUAGUUGCUAACCAGUAAUGGUGCACCCUAGCGAUACUGCCAGCUAAAAGUUGGAGGAAGGAGGGGAUGACGUCAAAUCCUCAUGGCCUUUAUGUCCAGGGCUACACACAUGCGACAAUGAUCGGUACAACGGGUCGCAACACCGCGAGGCGAAGCCAAUCCCUUAAAACCGACCUCAGUUCGGAUUGCAGGCUGCAAUUCGCCUGCAUGAAGAUGGAGUUGCUAGUAACGGCAGGUCAGCAUCACUGCCGUGAAUAUGUUCCCGGGCCUUGUACACACCGCCAUCCAUAUGUUUG
Molecule: ribosomal RNA, 1085 nt
Filed under: uncultured Eubacterium sp.
Lineage: Bacteria; Bacillati; Bacillota; Clostridia; Eubacteriales; Eubacteriaceae
Description: bacterial SSU rRNA
Rfam family: Bacterial small subunit ribosomal RNA
Source: RNAcentral